Molecule: ribosomal RNA, 347 nt
Filed under: Bacillus sp. J003
Lineage: Bacteria; Bacillati; Bacillota; Bacilli; Caryophanales; Bacillaceae
Description: bacterial SSU rRNA
Rfam family: Bacterial small subunit ribosomal RNA
Source: RNAcentral
AGAGUUUGAUCAUGGCUCAGGAUGAACGCUGGCGGCGUGCCUAAUACAUGCAAGUCGAGCGAAUGGAUUAAGAGCUUGCUCUUAUGAAGUUAGCGGCGGACGGGUGAGUAACACGUGGGUAACCUGCCCAUAAGACUGGGAUAACUCCGGGAAACCGGGGCUAAUACCGGAUAACAUUUUGAACCGCAUGGUUCGAAAUUGAAAGGCAGCUUCGGCUGUCACUUAUGGAUGGACCCGCGUCGCAUUUCUAGUUGGUGAGGUAACGGCUCACCAAGGCAACAAUGCGUAGCCGACCCGACAGGGUGAUCGGCACACUGGACUGAAAACGGCCAUAUUCCUAGGGAGGU